This is a non-coding RNA of Bactrocera oleae (olive fruit fly), 417 nucleotides long. The record is from RefSeq and is a predicted model, not a curated record. NCBI's taxonomy places the organism in Eukaryota, Metazoa, Arthropoda, Insecta, Diptera, Tephritidae.
UGAUUUCAUUCGAAAUGCUCAACAUUCGACGCACAUUGCUUGCAUAAACGGUAUCUGGGGAUUAACUGCACCAAGACUACGGCCGGACAAGCGAAAAUAUAGCCUAAAUUUUAACAUUGCCGCACCCAAAUCCGAGUAAACUCGAUUGCAAUUAUGGGUAUCUUCUUCCAAGAAAAGUGGAACUAUAUUUAUAGUAGACUCUGUGUGUUUCAGACUCAAUUUAUUAUUCAAGAAAUGUGGCAACAGAGCCCAAAUAACUUUAUUUUGUACCAAACAAUGUUAGAGUCGUAGUACUUGUAUAAAGGCAAAAAUAUUUUAUAAAUGAAAUGAGAAAGAAGGAAUUAAAGUACGUUCAAGAGCUAUUGAAAGUAUUUAGAUUCAUGGAUUAGUCAACUGAAAUAUAUUUUCUUCUUUCGA